CCUACGGGAGGCUGCAGUGAGGAAUAUUGGUCAAUGGACGGAAGUCUGAACCAGCCAUGCCGCGUGCAGGAAGACGGCUCUAUGAGUUGUAAACUGCUUUUGUACAAGGGUAAACCUGGAUACGUGUAUUCAGCUGAAAGUACUUUAUGAAUAAGGAUCGGCUAACUCCGUGCCAGCAGCCGCGGUAAUACGGAGGAUCCAAGCGUUAUCCGGAUUUAUUGGGUUUAAAGGGUGCGUAGGUGGCAUAAUAAGUAGCUAGUGAAAUCUGGUGGCUCAACCAUUCAGACUAUUAGCUAAACUGGUAGGCUCGAGACCGUUAGAGGUAACUGGAAUUUCUAGUGUAGGAGUGAAAUGCGUAGAUAUUAGAAGGAACCCCGAUUGCGUAGGCAGCUUACUGGGACGGUUCUGACACUGAUGCACGAAAGCGUAGGGAGCAAACGGGAUUAGAUACCCCAGUAGUC
RNAcentral lists this ribosomal RNA (461 nucleotides) under uncultured bacterium. RNAcentral describes it as "partial 16S ribosomal RNA". It matches the Rfam family "Bacterial small subunit ribosomal RNA", at positions 338 to 795 of the family's 1533-position model. The record is from RNAcentral.